GGGUAUGCCUCCUCUUGCUUCUCAUGCUCGUUAUAAAAACUUUCUGCUCCGAUUCUGACAGUAAAUACAUAUCUCAUUAGCUUUGGGAUACCUUCAAUUAAAGGGUAUUGUGUCUCAACAUUCUUGUCCUAAUACUCCUCAGCAAAAUGACAUUAUGUGUUAUGUAUGAUACUUUUAAUUAACGUUUUUUUACUUCUAGGAAUGUGAGAUUCUUUUAUAGUCAUUUUAUGUUUCCUUGUUUUUCCCCUACUUCAAUUUUUUCUGUUUUUCCCAUUUUUUUCUACAUCAUCCCCAUUAUUGAACGUUUCUAACUUGGCAUCACAUAUAUAGGACAACAUCGUCAACAAGUUUCCAUUUUCCCUUUUGACUUUGAUUUGUCACAUGUGUCCAUACCAAUUGAACCAUGACAAUAUGGUCGAAUAUCUCGAGCUCCUGAUAAGCAUUCUCCAAAAAAGUAUAUUUCUUCUCAUACUUCUCUAACAAUUUCUCUUUCUGGCCCAUUUAUUCUUACUUGUUACUCAUAAACUAUUAUAUAUGUAUGUAUGUAUAUAUAUAUAUAUAUAUAUAUAUGUUGGGUAAAGGCAAUGAAUGAUGAACUUCAGGUUCUAGAACUUCACAUGGGAUAUUGUUUCUUGCCCUCC
Molecule: long non-coding RNA, 641 nt
Filed under: Vigna radiata
Lineage: Eukaryota; Viridiplantae; Streptophyta; Magnoliopsida; Fabales; Fabaceae
Description: long non-coding RNA (VRAD_LNC002364)
Source: RNAcentral